RNAcentral lists this ribosomal RNA (258 nucleotides) under uncultured bacterium. RNAcentral describes it as "partial 16S ribosomal RNA". It matches the Rfam family "Bacterial small subunit ribosomal RNA", at positions 1234 to 1500 of the family's 1533-position model. The record is from RNAcentral.
UAGGUACAGAGGGCAGCUACCCAGCGAUGGGGUGCGAAUCUCGAAAGCCUAUCUCAGUUCGGAUUGGAGGCUGAAACCCGCCUCCAUGAAGUUGGAUUCGCUAGUAAUCGCGCAUCAGCCAUGGCGCGGUGAAUACGUUCCCGGGCCUUGUACACACCGCCCGUCAAGCCAUGGGAGCUGGGGGUGCCCGAAGUUCGUGACCGCAAGGAUCGACCUAGGGCAAAACCGGUGACUGGGGCUAAGUCGUAACAAGGUAUC